GAGACCGCUGCAAGCGCCGUACGCCCGCGACGUACAGAGCGGCGCUGGAGGGCUUCGCGGGCGCUGGCGGACCCUGGCGGCUCCCAGCCGCACUGCACCCACCUCCUUUUGAAGAACAGGGCUACUGUGGUGCAACUACUGCACAAAUGCCAUCUAACCCUAAACACUAUCAUUGACUCAAAAGAGAAACUGACCUGUUUCUUCUCCCAAAGUUCUGAAGUAUAUUGUUGGCUGUCAGUGGGAGAGGAAGCCCCUCGUUUCGCCGAGACUUGAAGUGCAAGGAAUGGUAUAUUAAAACUGCAUCAUUUUCAGUCAAAAAAACGAAAAAAAAGAAAAAAAAGUGUUGGCUGGUCAUCAUGGUGUGGUGGCAAACAUCUUUACUACCAUCACUCUGUAGACAGGAGGAUCUCUGAAAGUUCAAGGACACCCUGGUCUACACUGCAAGUUCCAAACCAGCUAGGGCUACAAAGUGAAACCCUAUCUCAAAAAAUAAAAUAUGCCACGAUUCUCCCAUAGCA
This is a long non-coding RNA of Mastomys coucha (southern multimammate mouse), 518 nucleotides long. RefSeq lists it as uncharacterized. NCBI's taxonomy places the organism in Eukaryota, Metazoa, Chordata, Mammalia, Rodentia, Muridae. The record is from RefSeq and is a predicted model, not a curated record. The transcript is spliced from 2 exons.